AGAGUUUGAUCCUGGCUCAGAACGAACGCUGGCGGCGUGCCUAACACAUGCAAGUCGAACGGGAUUAAGGGGCUUGCCUCUUAAUUUAGUGGCGCACGGGUGAGUAACGCGUGGAUAACCUGCCCUGGUAUCCGGGAUAACAUCUCGAAAGGGGUGCUAAUACGGGAUAAGCCCACGGGGUCUUCGGACCUUGCGGGAAAAGGUGGCCUCUGAAUAUGCUGCCGUAUCAGGAUGGGUCCGCGUACCAUUAGCUAGUUGGUAGUGUAAUGGACUACCAAGGCUACGAUGGUUAGCUGGUCUGAGAGGAUGAUCGGCCACACUGGAACUGAGACACGGUCCAGACUCCUACGGGAGGCAGCAGUGGGGAAUUUUGCGCAAUGGGGGAAACCCUGACGCAGCAACGCCGCGUGAGUGAUGAAGGCCUUCGGGUCGUAAAGCUCUGUCAGAGGGAAAGAAGUGUAGCAUGGUUAAUACCCAUACUACUUGACGGUACCCUCAAAGGAAGCACCGGCUAACUCCGUGCCAGCAGCCGCGGUAAUAC
Molecule: ribosomal RNA, 541 nt
Filed under: uncultured delta proteobacterium
Lineage: Bacteria; Deltaproteobacteria
Description: bacterial SSU rRNA
Rfam family: Bacterial small subunit ribosomal RNA
Source: RNAcentral